GAUGAACGCUGGCGGCGUGCCUAAUACAUGCAAGUCGAGCGAACAGACGAGGAGCUUGCUCCUUUGACGUUAGCGGCGGACGGGUGAGUAACACGUGGGUAACCUACCUAUAAGACUGGGAUAACUUCGGGAAACCGGAGCUAAUACCGGAUAAUAUUUCGAACCGCAUGGUUCGAUAGUGAAAGAUGGCUUUGCUAUCACUUAUAGAUGGACCUGCGCCGCAUUAGCUAGUUGGUAAGGUAACGGCUUACCAAGGCAACGAUACGUAGCCGACCUGAGAGGGUGAUCGGCCACACUGGAACUGAGACACGGUCCAGACUCCUACGGGAGGCAGCAGUAGGGAAUCUUCCGCAAUGGGCGAAAGCCUGACGGAGCAACGCCGCGUGAGUGAUGAAGGUCUUCGGAUCGUAAAACUCUGUUAUUAGGGAAGAACAAACGUGUAAGUAACUGUGCACGUCUUGACGGUACCUAAUCAGAAAGCCACGGCUAACUACGUGCCAGCAGCCGCGGUAAUACGUAGGUGGCAAGCGUUAUCCGGAAUUAUUGGGCGUAAAGCGCGCGUAGGCGGUUUUUUAAGUCUGAUGUGAAAGCCCACGGCUCAACCGCGGAGGGUCAUUGGAAACUGGAAAACUUGAGUGCAGAAGAGGAAAGUGGAAUUCCAUGUGUAGCGGUGAAAUGCGCAGAGAUAUGGAGGAACACCAGUGGCGAAGGCGACUUUCUGGUCUGUAACUGACGCUGAUGUGCGAAAGCGUGGGGAUCAAACAGGAUUAGAUACCCUGGUAGUCCACGCCGUAAACGAUGAGUGCUAAGUGUUGGGGGGUUUCCGCCCCUUAGUGCUGCAGCUAACGCAUUAAGCACUCCGCCUGGGGAGUACGACCGCAAGGUUGAAACUCAAAGGAAUUGACGGGGACCCGCACAAGCGGUGGAGCAUGUGGUUUAAUUCGAAGCAACGCGAAGAACCUUACCAAAUCUUGACAUCCUUUGACCCUUCUAGAGAUAGAAGUUUCCCCUUCGGGGGACAAAGUGACAGGUGGUGCAUGGUUGUCGUCAGCUCGUGUCGUGAGAUGUUGGGUUAAGUCCCGCAACGAGCGCAACCCUUAAGCUUAGUUGCCAUCAUUAAGUUGGGCACUCUAAGUUGACUGCCGGUGACAAACCGGAGGAAGGUGGGGAUGACGUCAAAUCAUCAUGCCCCUUAUGAUUUGGGCUACACACGUGCUACAAUGGACAAUACAAAGGGCAGCGAAACCGCGAGGUCAAGCAAAUCCCAUAAAGUUGUUCUCAGUUCGGAUUGUAGUCUGCAACUCGACUACAUGAAGCUGGAAUCGCUAGUAAUCGUAGAUCAGCAUGCUACGGUGAAUACGUUCCCGGGUCU
RNAcentral lists this ribosomal RNA (1372 nucleotides) under uncultured bacterium. RNAcentral describes it as "bacterial SSU rRNA". It matches the Rfam family "Bacterial small subunit ribosomal RNA", at positions 28 to 1381 of the family's 1533-position model. The record is from RNAcentral.